UUAUGAUGCCACAAGGGUAGAAGCUA
This 26-nucleotide non-coding RNA is filed under the name Homo sapiens (human). Lineage: Eukaryota; Metazoa; Chordata; Mammalia; Primates; Hominidae. The record is from RNAcentral.